GCCGGGAUGGCGGAAUUGGUUUACGCGCAUCACUUAAGAUGAUGUGACCGAAAGGUCGUGAGGGUUCGAGUCCCUCUCCCGGCA
Molecule: transfer RNA, 84 nt
Filed under: bacterium
Lineage: Bacteria
Description: tRNA-Leu
Rfam family: tRNA
About the family: Transfer RNA (tRNA) molecules are approximately 80 nucleotides in length. Their secondary structure includes four short double-helical elements and three loops (D, anti-codon, and T loops). Further hydrogen bonds mediate the characteristic L-shaped molecular structure. tRNAs have two regions of fundamental functional importance: the anti-codon, which is responsible for specific mRNA codon recognition, and the 3' end, to which the tRNAs corresponding amino acid is attached (by aminoacyl-tRNA synthetases). tRNAs cope with the degeneracy of the genetic code in two manners: having more than one tRNA (with a specific anti-codon) for a particular amino acid; and 'wobble' base-pairing, i.e. permitting non-standard base-pairing at the 3rd anti-codon position.
Source: RNAcentral